Molecule: long non-coding RNA, 1884 nt
Filed under: Pongo abelii (Sumatran orangutan)
Lineage: Eukaryota; Metazoa; Chordata; Mammalia; Primates; Hominidae
Description: lincRNA
Source: RNAcentral
GGAAGCAGAGCUAAGGAAGGCAGCCACUGCCCACCCAUGGCUGAGCAGGGAGAAAUGAAUACCUCAACCUCACUUUCCCACUACCCCCAGUCUCCCAGCAAGCCUCCUACCAGAAGGCAGAGGGCAGGGCAGCCCUUUGACACAAUCCACAAAGAUCAGCCCUUCUGGAGCUCAGAGCUAUUACAGAGAAGCCUGGAGAGUGCAUUGAGACAGUUUUUCUCCAGGUGGUGUGACACUGCUGCUAAUAAUGGUGAUGACGUCAAAACUGCCAAGGGCCUUAGAAAUCUGCCAGUCCAACACGAAGCAGGGAGAUCACAAAAAAGGGGAGGCAGAGCUGGAAGAGAACACAGCUGUCCUGACAUCCAGGUGCUCCAUUAUGCCCGAAAGCUUAACUUCACCACCAAAGCCCAAGAAGAGGUUUUCUUCACCAAAGAUGGGGAAGUGCUGGCAACGUUUGACAUUAAAAACAUCUAUGUUCUCCCAGACCUGUCAGGACAGACAGCCAUUGUUGGACACUUUGACUUCAGAGCACCUUCUGGAAAAGAGCUUCUGUUCGAUGACAGCGCAAUUGUCUGGGCAGAAGGACUCUUAAAGAUUAGAGCUGAGAGAACCCUAAGAACCAAGACCACACAGCACCUCUCACAUCCCAAGCUCCAGGAGAAUCACUUGAACCCGGGAGGCAGAGGUUGCAGUGAGCCAAGAUCGUGCCACUGAACUCCAGCCUGGGUGACAGAGUGAGGUCCUGUCUCAAAAAAAAAAAAAAAAAAAAAAUACAUAUUAUUACUACAACUUGAGUAUCCCUCAUCCGAAUUGCUUGGGACCAGAAGUGUUUUGGAUUUCAGAUUUUUUCAGAUUUUGAAGUAUUUGCAUAUGCAUAAAGAAAUAUCUUGGGGAUAGGAUCCAAGUCUAAAUAUGAAAUUCAUUUAUGUUUCAUAUACCCCUUAUACACAUAGUCUGAAGGUAAUUUUUUACAAUAUUUUUAACUAUAUCAUGCAUGAAACAAAGUUUGUUUAUGUCAAGUCAGGUGUGGAAUUUUCCACUUGAGGCAUCAUGUUGACACUCAAAAAGUUUUGGAUUUUGGAGCAUUCCAGAUUUCAGAUUUUCAAAUUAGGGAUGCCCCAUCUAUAUCUCCAUUUUAUUGAAGAGGAAUCUGAAGUUUAGAGAUAUUAAGCCCAAGGCACACAAACCAUAAAGGGCAAAACCAGAAUUCCAACCUCAAGAUGUCUUGUUUUCCCACCACACUCGAAAUCUGGAAGAGCUUAUUCUUACCUAUCACUGUUUCCCUAGCACCCUGUACAGUACCUGAUAUAUGGAACACAUUUUUAAUUAUCUGAGCAAGAAACGGAGGAAGAGGAAAAUGAAAGAGAGAAGGAAAAGAUGAUAAAGAGGGGUUUAAUAAAGGAAGGAGUAAGAGAAAGGAAGAGAGAGAGGGACCCAGUAAGUGAAAACGAUGAGGCUUAUUCCUCCACAACCUGACUGCACAGAUGUCGCUCAAUUCCCCCUGCAGUCUCCCCAGCACUCUCUCCCCUCCACUCUCCCCCAUCUUGUGUGUAGGUCCCUUCCUCUGCCUGCAACGAAAAAUGUCCUGUGGAAAUCAGGAAGUCAACCCUAUUUGAGAAGUGAAAAUGCUGCUACAAAAGCCUUCCUUGCCCCAGAAGAGAAAUCGCAAUGUCGCCAGGUAAGGAGGGAGGCUGGUUCUUGGUCAGAGGGUGGCCAGCCAUCAGCCAGAGUAGGCUUCAGAUGAAAGCUGUGUCCACAUCAAGGAAAUCCCUUCAAUGGAAAAGUCCAGGGAAGUGGGGACCAAAAACAAGAUGUCAAUGUGACCUUCCCAGAUGCUGCAUUAAAGCCAUUUGAGGCUAUUACAUUCAUUCUUUCUUUUAUCAA